Molecule: unclassified non-coding RNA, 196 nt
Filed under: uncultured fungus
Lineage: Eukaryota; Fungi
Description: sequence contains ITS1
Source: RNAcentral
UUGAUAGUCCCUCGAUCCCCGUGCAGGGGCCCACCACUCAGAAGAGCGACACCCACGGAGGGCGAGUCUAGGGCCCAGCGGCGGGGGGCAGGGGCGGCAGCCCCAGCGUCCCCCGCCGAGGCAACAGGCCGGUAAGUUCACGAUGGUCUCGCACAGAGGCUCUGUAAUGAUCCCUCCGCUGGUUCACCAACGGAGA